CGACCCGUAUGCAUUUAGAGAAAAAUGAGAACCUAGUUAUUCUUGAUCUUUCCUGGAGUAAGGUUACAGAGUCCUGGGGAGGUUGGAAUAGAAUAAAGAUGGAGCAUUUGAAAGUCUUGAACCUUACAGGUUGUACGGACCUAUUAGUUACCCCGAGCUUCUCGUGUUGCCCAAAUUUGGAGAUACUGAUCCUUGAGCGAUGUUCUCGAUUGGUU
Eucalyptus grandis is the source of this 215-nucleotide long non-coding RNA. RefSeq lists it as uncharacterized. NCBI's taxonomy places the organism in Eukaryota, Viridiplantae, Streptophyta, Magnoliopsida, Myrtales, Myrtaceae. The record is from RefSeq and is a predicted model, not a curated record. The transcript has 2 exons.